GGAAGGUCCCCCACAUUGGAACUGAGACACGGUCCAAACUCCUACGGGAGGCAGCAGUGAGGAAUAUUGGUCAAUGGACGAGAGUCUGAACCAGCCAAGUAGCGUGCAGGAAGACGACAAAAAAAGAUGUAAACUGCUUUUAUAAGGGAAUAAAGUGAGUCUCGUGAGACUUUUUGCAUGUACCUUAUGAAUAAGGACCGGCUAAUUCCGUGCCAGCAGCCGCGGUAAUACGGAAGGUCCGGGCGUUAUCCGGAUUUAUUGGGUUUAAAGGGAGCGUAGGCCGGAGAUUAAGCGUGUUGUGAAAUGUAGAUGCUCAACAUCUGAACUGCAGCGCGAACUGGUUUCCUUGAGUACGCACAAAGUGGGCGGAAUUCGUGGUGUAGCGGUGAAAUGCUUAGAUAUCACGAAGAACUCCGAUUGCGAAGGCAGCUCACUGGAGCGCAACUGACGCUGAAGCUCGAAAGUGCGGGUAUCGAACAGGAUUAGAUACCCUGGUAGUCCGCCCGGAAAACGAUGGAUGCCCGCUGUUGGUCUGAAUAGGUCAGCGGCCAGGCGAAAGCAUUAAGCAUCCCACCUGGGGAGUACGCCGGCAACGGUGAAACUCAAAGGAAUUGACGGGGGCCCGCACAAGCGGAGGAACAUGUGGUUUAAUUCGAUGAUACGCGAGGAACCUUACCCGGGCUUGAAUUGCAGAGGAAGGAUUUGGAGACAAUGACGCCCUUCGGGGCCUCUGUGAAGGUGCUGCAUGGUUGUCGUCAGCUCGUGCCGUGAGGUGUCGGCUUAAGUGCCAUAACGAGCGCAACCCCUCUCCUUAGUUGCCAUCAGGUCAUGCUGGGCACUCUGGGGACACUGCCACCGUAAGGUGUGAGGAAGGUGGGGAUGACGUCAAAUCAGCACGGCCCUUACGUCCGGGGCUACACACGUGUUACAAUGGCAGGUACAGAGAGACGGUCCCUUGCAAAAUGGAUCAAAUCCUUAAAGCCUGUCUCAGUUCGGACUGGGGUCUGCAACCCGACCCCACGAAGCUGGAUUCGCUAGUAAUCGCGCAUCAGCCAUGGCGCGGUGAAUACGUUCCCGGGCCUUGCACA
This 1088-nucleotide ribosomal RNA is filed under the name uncultured bacterium. RNAcentral describes it as "bacterial SSU rRNA". It matches the Rfam family "Bacterial small subunit ribosomal RNA", at positions 298 to 1387 of the family's 1533-position model. The record is from RNAcentral.